UACGUAGGGUGCAAGCGUUGUCCGGAAUUAUUGGGCGUAAAGAGCUCGUAGGCGGUCUGUCGCGUCUGCUGUGAAAAUCCAGGGCUCAACCCUGGACCUGCAGUGGGUACGGGCAGACUAGAGUGCGGUAGGGGAGAUCGGAAUUCCUGGUGUAGCGGUGAAAUGCGCAGAUAUCAGGAGGAGCACCGGUGGCGAAGGCGGAUCUCUGGGCCGUAACUGACGCUGAGGAGCGAAAGCAUGGGGAGCGAACAGG
RNAcentral lists this ribosomal RNA (253 nucleotides) under uncultured bacterium. RNAcentral's name for it is "partial 16S ribosomal RNA". It matches the Rfam family "Bacterial small subunit ribosomal RNA", at positions 524 to 776 of the family's 1533-position model. The record is from RNAcentral.